AUUCCAGCUCCAAGAGCGUAUGCUAAAGUUGUUGCGGUUAAAAAGCUCGUAGUUGGAUUUUUCGGUGUGUCCCGAGCGUGGGCUACGGUCUGUGUUCGGACUCGCUGUUUUGCGGCGCUCUUCUGCUCGCAGAGGGGCGCAGCGUUUACUUUGAGCAAAUUAGAGUGCUUCAAGCAGGCUUUAUUGCCUUGAAUAAUUUAGCAUGGAAUGACAGUUAGGACGCGGGUUCUAUUUGUUGGUUUCUGGAUCUGUGUAAUGGUUGAUAGGGGCAGUUGGGGGGCAUUAGUAUUCCGUAGCCAGAGGUGGAAUUCUUAGACUUGCGGAAGACUUUCUACUGCGAAAGCAUCUGCCCAGGAUGUUUUCAUUA
RNAcentral lists this ribosomal RNA (367 nucleotides) under Eukaryota sp. Its description in RNAcentral is "partial small subunit ribosomal RNA". It matches the Rfam family "Eukaryotic small subunit ribosomal RNA", at positions 582 to 975 of the family's 1831-position model. The record is from RNAcentral.